ACGGGUGAGUAACGCGUGGGAAUCUACCCAUCUCUACGGAAUAACGCAUGGAAACGCGUGCUAAUACCGUAUACGUCCUUCGGGAGAAAGAUUUAUCGGAGAUGGAUGAGCCCGCGUUGGAUUAGCUAGUUGGUGGGGUAAAGGCCUACCAAGGCGACGAUCCAUAGCUGGUCUGAGAGGAUGAUCAGCCACACUGGGACUGAGACACGGCCCAGACUCCUACGGGAGGCAGCAGUGGGGAAUAUUGGACAAUGGGCGCAAGCCUGAUCCAGCCAUGCCGCGUGAGUGAUGAAGGCCCUAGGGUUGUAAAGCUCUUUCACCGGUGAAGAUAAUGACGGUAACCGGAGAAGAAGCCCCGGCUAACUUCGUGCCAGCAGCCGCGGUAAUACGAAGGGGGCUAGCGUUGUUCGGAUUUACUGGGCGUAAAGCGCACGUAGGCGGACUAUUAAGUCAGGGGUGAAAUCCCGGGGCUCAACCCCGGAACUGCCUUUGAUACUGGUAGUCUUGAGUUCGAGAGAGGUGAGUGGAAUUCCGAGUGUAGAGGUGAAAUUCGUAGA
RNAcentral lists this ribosomal RNA (557 nucleotides) under uncultured bacterium. Its description in RNAcentral is "bacterial SSU rRNA". It matches the Rfam family "Bacterial small subunit ribosomal RNA", at positions 102 to 694 of the family's 1533-position model. The record is from RNAcentral.